CACCUCUUCCCAUUCCGAACAGAGAAGUUAAGCUCAGUCACGCCGAUGGUACUGCGUAACAGUGGGAGAGUAGGUAGUCGCCGUUU
Molecule: ribosomal RNA, 86 nt
Filed under: Bacteroides eggerthii
Lineage: Bacteria; Pseudomonadati; Bacteroidota; Bacteroidia; Bacteroidales; Bacteroidaceae
Also listed under: 1 other name
Source: RNAcentral